This 1050-nucleotide ribosomal RNA is filed under the name Brevibacterium sp. VN-15. RNAcentral describes it as "bacterial SSU rRNA". It matches the Rfam family "Bacterial small subunit ribosomal RNA", at positions 77 to 1139 of the family's 1533-position model. The record is from RNAcentral. Lineage: Bacteria; Bacillati; Actinomycetota; Actinomycetes; Micrococcales; Brevibacteriaceae.
AGCUUGCUGUUGGUGGAUGAGUGGCGAACGGGUGAGUAACACGUGAGUAACCUGCCCCUGAUUUCGGGAUAAGCCUGGGAAACUGGGUCUAAUACCGGAUACGACCAAUCCUCGCAUGAGGGUUGGUGGAAAGUUUUUCGAUCGGGGAUGGGCUCGCGGCCUAUCAGCUUGUUGGUGGGGUAAUGGCCUACCAAGGCGACGACGGGUAGCCGGCCUGAGAGGGCGACCGGCCACACUGGGACUGAGACACGGCCCAGACUCCUAUGGGAGGCAGCAGUGGGGAAUAUUGCACAAUGGGGGAAACCCUGAUGCAGCGACGCAGCGUGCGGGAUGACGGCCUUCGGGUUGUAAACCGCUUUCAGCAGGGAAGAAGCGAAAGUGACGGUACCUGCAGAAGAAGUACCGGCUAACUACGUGCCAGCAGCCGCGGUAAUACGUAGGGUACGAGCGUUGUCCGGAAUUAUUGGGCGUAAAGAGCUCGUAGGUGGUUGGUCACGUCUUCUGUGGAAACGCAACGCUUAACGUUGCGCGUGCAGUGGGUACGGGCUGACUAGAGUGCAGUAGGGGAGUCUGGAAUUCCUGGUGUAGCGGUGAAAUGCGCAGAUAUCAGGAGGGACACCGGUGGCGAAGUCGGGACUCUGGGCUGUAACUGACACUGAGGAGCGAAAGCAUGGGGAUCGUACAGGAUUAGAUACCCUGGUAGUCCAUGCCGUAAACGUUGGGCACUAGGUGUGGGGGACAUUCCACGUUCUCCGCGCCGUAGCUAACGCAUUAAGUGCCCCGCCUGGGGAGUACGGUCGCAAGGCUAAAACUCAAAGGAAUUGACGGGGGCCCGCACAAGCGGCGGAGCAUGCGGAUUAAUUCGAUGCAACGCGAAGAACCUUACCAAGGCUUGACAUACACUGGACCGUUCUGGAAACAGUUCUUCUCUUUGGAGCUGGUGUACAGGUGGUGCAUGGUUGUCGUCAGCUCGUGUCGUGAGAUGUUGGGUUAAGUCCCGCAACGAGCGCAACCCUCGUUCUAUGUUGCCAGCACGUGAUGGUGGGAACU